CUGACCACACUGCCAGAUCCUUCUCCCGAGGCGCCUGGGUUCCUUGGCACAUACAGUUGUCGAGAAGGUGCUUGCUGACUUGGGGCUCAUUCGAUAGGUGCACAACAGGCGGCUCCCCAGGUGUUCCCAUUUUGCUGCCAUGGACUCUAAGAUUUGGAGAC
Molecule: unclassified non-coding RNA, 161 nt
Organism: Microcebus murinus (gray mouse lemur)
Lineage: Eukaryota; Metazoa; Chordata; Mammalia; Primates; Cheirogaleidae
Source: Ensembl